Passer domesticus (house sparrow) is the source of this 1709-nucleotide long non-coding RNA. RefSeq lists it as uncharacterized. Lineage: Eukaryota; Metazoa; Chordata; Aves; Passeriformes; Passeridae. The transcript is spliced from 3 exons. The record is from RefSeq and is a predicted model, not a curated record.
UUUAUUCUUGUUAGGAAUUUAACACGGUUAAAUGGACAAGUGCUCGAUCUUGUCCCUUUCAGUUUGUUUCUGCUGGCUCGCUGUUACAUGGGCGGAUAAAUUGACAUUUGUCGCUUUAGUGUUCUUCAGCACAGUGAAGACGCUGUUCAGGGUUUUCACCUCAGAAAAGGACAGUGGGGGAGAAGAAGUGAGGGAUGAUGGACGUGGUCUUAGAAGGCAACUGAGUCUGUAGGAGCUUUAGUCCAUCACACCACCCACUGUUUGGCCAGAAGAUGUAGAAAGACUGAGCAAGACCAAGCAGGUGGUGUUGUCCAGUAAUGCAUCAUUAGAAGAUGGAGAAGACAGAGGAGCAGACGAAUAUCUAGAGGAGGUGGGGGUAUGAAAUACCUGCUUUCAAGUAUUUUUACAUUCACUUUGAGUUCUUCAUGAAGUCCUGUAGUCUGAUGAAAAAAAGUUAAGCUUGGGAAAUUUCAGCCAGAUGAAUUCAGGAGAAAUAUGGUUAAACAUUAAAUGUAGCUAUUUUGAAGAACACAUUUUCCACCCAACUCUAAUGCUUGCUUCUUAAGUUCAGCUGCAGCUUUCCUCUCCAAGUGCUGAAGCUCAUCCUGUUACACCAUGCUUGGUUGAAUCUCAGCUAAUACCCAACUCUACAUUUUUGUGAGAGGUGAGAAGCUCCUCCUUCCACCUGCAAAGGCAACUACAGAUAAGUUCUGCUCAACUACAGAUAAGUUUGGCCCAAGUCUUCUUUUUUGAAAUAAUUUGUAAGCUGCCAAAAAAAAUUCCUGUAAGAUUGUUUCUAUUAAAAAAAGAAACCCCCUUCAAUGUCAGUAAAAAUAGAUACCACUUCUGAGUAAACAUCUGAAUCAUGAAUCACUGGAUGCUGAGAAUAUUAAUGGGAAGCAUUAACACACACUUCCCAAAUUCUCUGCUCCUUCCCACUAGCCAUUGAUGCAGCCAGGAUUCACUGCCUCACCAGCUGCAUCAGAAAGGCUCAUGAAAACUCGAGAUAAAAUUCUGUGAUUCCUACUAUAAACUACUUUAGAAAUCUGAAACACCUUUUUAAAUACUGUCCUUGGCACACAGGGAAAAGUUAAAACAUCUAAAGUCACUUCAGUCCUAUGGUUUAAGCAGGGCACCCCUUCAAUGGCACACAAAACCUGUGACCAGCCCUAGAACAGACCCACAGAAUUUUUUAGGUGGAAAAUACCCUUAAGGUCAUGGAAUCCAACUGUUAACCCAGCUCUUCUGAGUCCACCACUCAACCAUGUCCCUAAGUGCCACAUUCACACAGCUUUUAAAUAACCCCAGGGGUGGUGACACCACCCACCACUUCCCUGGGCAGCCUGUUCAAAUGCUUGACAACUGUUUCAGUGAAGAAAUGGCUCCUGAUAUCCCAUCUAAACCCUCCCUGGCACAACUUGAGGCUGUUUCCUCUUGUCCUAUCUCUUGUUGCUUGGGAAAAGAAGCCAACACCCACGUGGCUAUUGUCUCUCUUCAGGCAAUUGUAGAGAGAGGUAAGGUCCCUCCAGAUCCUCCUUUUCUCCAGGCUAAACACUCCCAGCUCUCUCAGCUGCUCCUCACAGGACUCUCCAGACCCUUCCCCAGCUCUGUUGCCCUCUCUGGACUCUCUCCAGCCCCUCAAUGUCUGUCUUGCAGUGAGGGGCCCAGAACUGGACACAGCACUCGAGGUGUGGCCUCACCAGUGCCCA